RNAcentral lists this ribosomal RNA (717 nucleotides) under uncultured bacterium. RNAcentral describes it as "bacterial SSU rRNA". It matches the Rfam family "Bacterial small subunit ribosomal RNA", at positions 57 to 743 of the family's 1533-position model. The record is from RNAcentral.
GCGAGUCUGCCUUGAAGAUCGGAGUGCUUGCACUCUGUGAAACAAGAUACAGGCUAGCGGCGGACGGGUGAGUAACACGUGGGUAACCUGCCCAAGAGAUCGGGAUAACACCUGGAAACAGAUGCUAAUACUGGAUAACAACAGAUGAUGCCUAUCAACUGUUUAAAAGAUGGUUCUGCUAUCACUCUUGGAUGGACCUGCGGUGCAUUAGCUAGUUGGUAGGGUAACGGCCUACCAAGGCGAUGAUGCAUAGCCGAGUUGAGAGACUGAUCGGCCACAUUGGGACUGAGACACGGCCCAAACUCCUACGGGAGGCAGCAGUAGGGAAUCUUCCACAAUGGACGCAAGUCUGAUGGAGCAACGCCGCGUGAGUGAAGAAGGGUUUCGGCUCGUAAAGCUCUGUUGUUGGUGAAGAAGGACAGGGGUAGUAACUGACCUUUGUUUGACGGUAAUCAAUUAGAAAGUCACGGCUAACUACGUGCCAGCAGCCGCGGUAAUACGUAGGUGGCAAGCGUUGUCCGGAUUUAUUGGGCGUAAAGCGAGUGCAGGCGGUUCGAUAAGUCUGAUGUGAAAGCCUUCGGCUCAACCGGAGAAUUGCAUCAGAAACUGUCGAGCUUGAGUGCAGAAGAGGAGAGUGGAACUCCAUGUGUAGCGGUGAAAUGCGUAGAUAUAUGGAAGAACACCGGUGGCGAAGGCGGCUCUCUGGUCUGUUACUGA